Long non-coding RNA from Oncorhynchus tshawytscha (Chinook salmon), 860 nucleotides. The record is from Ensembl. NCBI's taxonomy places the organism in Eukaryota, Metazoa, Chordata, Actinopteri, Salmoniformes, Salmonidae.
AUACACAUAUUUCCACAGGUUAUAAACUGAAAAUGACGUCAGCGUUUUCUAAACGUUCUAUCUAUUUCACAAGUAGAGGGGCCCUCUAGCCUUCGCGUUAUCAGCACGAAGUCAAGGCCAGUCAGUAUAAAUCGACAUUCUAGACAGUCUGGAGAUGGGCCGUUCCCGCCACCUGGAGAUUUGUACACUGAAUGAACUAAGGAACAGACCUUCACUGUCACUAAACUCCUGACUACAUUAUAUACAAUUGGGAAUGGGAGCAAGAGAGAAAAUUCACAUGUACAGUACAUUAUAGCAUUUGGACUAGUCAGUUCUGAUUGGAAUGUGUACAUAAUUAGUCAUUUCAACCAUAAUUUCCUCUAACAAGAUUACAGCAUUAUAUCAGGCUAAUCAAGGUGCAGAUUACAGCAUUAUAUCAGGCUAAUCAAGGUGUAGAUUACAGCAUUAUAUCAGGCUAAUGGGGGUGUAGAUUACAGCAUUAUAUCAGGCUAAUCAAGGUGUAGAUUACAGCACUAUAUCAGGCUAAUAAAGGUGUAGAUUACAGCAUUAUAUCAGGCUAAUCAGGGUGUAGAUUACAGCAUUAUAUCAGGCUAAUCAAGGUGUAGAUUACAGCAUUAUAUCAGGCUAAUCAAGGUGCCGAUUACAGCAUUAUAUCAGGCUAAUCAAGGUGUAGAUUACAGCAUUAUAUCAGGCUAAUCAAGGUGUAGAUUACAGCAUUAUAUCAGGCUAAUCAAGGUGUAGAUUACAGCAUUAUAUCAGGCUAAUCAAGGUGUAGAUUACAGCAUUAUAUCAGGCUAAUCAAGGUGUAGAUUACAGCAUUAUAUCAGGCUAAUCAAGGUGUAGAUUACAGCAUUAUAUCA